RNAcentral lists this ribosomal RNA (779 nucleotides) under uncultured Neocallimastigales. Its description in RNAcentral is "partial large subunit ribosomal RNA". It matches the Rfam family "Eukaryotic large subunit ribosomal RNA", at positions 24 to 644 of the family's 3401-position model. The record is from RNAcentral. Lineage: Eukaryota; Fungi; Neocallimastigomycota; Neocallimastigomycetes; Neocallimastigales.
ACGACUACAUAUCAGGCAUAUCAAUAAGCGGAGGAAAAGAAACUAACUAAGGAUUCCCCUCAGUAACGGCGAGUGAAGCGGGAAGAGCUCAAAUUUGAAAUCUUAAAGGUUUCUACCUUGACGAAUUGUAGUUUAAAGAAGUGUUUUCGGUUAGAGGAGUUUAGGUAAAAGUUCUUUGAAUAGGACAUCAUAGAGGGUGAGAAUCCCGUAUUUGACCUAUUAUUUCCUAGCUUUGUGAUACACUUUCAAAGAGUCGGAUUGUUUGGGAAUGCAGUCCAAAAUGGGUGGUAAAUUUCAUCUAAAGCUAAAUAUUGGCGAGAGACCGAUAGCGAACAAGUACCGUGAGGGAAAGAUGAAAAGAACUUUGAAAAGAGAGUUAAACAGUACGUGAAAUUGUCAAAAGGGAAGCGUUUGACACCAGUGUUGUUUCUACGAAAAUCAAUUUAUGAUGGCUUGAUGCUAAGCUUUAAGACUUUAUCCGCUUGUUGUUUAGUUUUCUUGUCUUUGUGAAUGCACUUUUCGUGGAACAAGUCAACAUCAAUUUCUUUUGCUGUAAAAGGGUAAGAGGAAGGUGGCUUCGGCUUCGGUUGAAGUGUUUAUAGCCUUUUAUCUCUGCAGUCGGAGAGAUUGAGGUCUGCAGCGUAGACUCUUCGGGGUUAGAUACGUCGGUGCUAAGCUAUAGCUUUUCAUAGACAACUUGUUGACUAUGUUUAGUCAUGUGGCUUACCCGCUGGCGCUAUUUUACCUACGCUUAGGAUGUUGACUGAUAUGUAGUCGUA